GAUGAAUAACGCAGCGAAAUGCGAUAAGUAAUGUGAAUUGCAGAAUUCAGUGAAUCAUCGAGUCUUUGAACGCACAUUGCGCCCCCUGGUAUUCCGGGGGGCAUGCCUGUCCGAGCGUCAUUGCUGCCCUCAAGCACGGCUUGUGUGUUGGGCCGUCGUCCCCCUCCUAGGGGACGGGCCCGAAAGGCAGCGGCGGCACCGCGUCCGGUCCUCGAGCGUAUGGGGCUUCGUCACCCGCUCCGUAGGCCCGGCCGGCGCUUGCCGACGACCAUCAAUCUCUUUCUCCAGGUUGACCUCGGAUCAGGUAGGGAUACCCGCUGAACUUAAGCAUAUCAAUAAGCGGAGGA
This 347-nucleotide unclassified non-coding RNA is filed under the name soil metagenome. Its description in RNAcentral is "partial contains 5.8S ribosomal RNA, internal transcribed spacer 2, and large subunit ribosomal RNA". The stretch from base 1 to 120 matches the Rfam family "5.8S ribosomal RNA", at positions 35 to 154 of the family's 154-position model. The record is from RNAcentral.